This 486-nucleotide ribosomal RNA is filed under the name uncultured bacterium. RNAcentral's name for it is "partial 16S ribosomal RNA". It matches the Rfam family "Bacterial small subunit ribosomal RNA", at positions 30 to 507 of the family's 1533-position model. The record is from RNAcentral.
AUUGAACGCUGGCGGCAUGCCUUACACAUGCAAGUCGAACGGCAGCACGGGUGCUUGCACCUGGUGGCGAGUGGCGAACGGGUGAGUAAUACAUCGGAACAUGUCCUGUAGUGGGGGAUAGCCCGGCGAAAGCCGGAUUAAUACCGCAUACGAUCUACGGAUGAAAGCGGGGGACCUUCGGGCCUCGCGCUAUAGGGUUGGCCGAUGGCUGAUUAGCUAGUUGGUGGGGUAAAGGCCUACCAAGGCGACGAUCAGUAGCUGGUCUGAGAGGGCGACCAGCCACACUGGGACUGAGACACGGCCCAGACUCCUACGGGAGGCAGCAGUGGGGAAUAUUGGACAAUGGGCGAAAGCCUGAUCCAGCAAUGCCGCGUGUGUGAAGAAGGCCUUCGGGUUGUAAAGCACUUUUGUUCGGAAAGAAAUCCUUGGCCCUAAUACGGUCGGGGGAUGACGGUACCGGAAGAAUAAGCACCGGCUAACUACGUG